GCCUUCUUAGCUCAGCGGUAGUAGCGUCUGCCUCGUACUCUACUCCAGGGUAGCAGAAGGUCGGGUGUUCAAUCCACCCAGAAGGCA
Irineochytrium annulatum is the source of this 87-nucleotide non-coding RNA. Lineage: Eukaryota; Fungi; Chytridiomycota; Chytridiomycetes; Chytridiales; Chytridiaceae. The record is from the annotation of a GenBank genome assembly.